This 69-nucleotide transfer RNA is filed under the name Marmota monax (woodchuck). RNAcentral's name for it is "tRNA.Gly". The record is from RNAcentral. Lineage: Eukaryota; Metazoa; Chordata; Mammalia; Rodentia; Sciuridae.
GGGUUGUGCUCAGUGGUAGAGUGCUCUCCUACCAUGCAUGAGGCACUGGGUUCGAUCCUCAGCAACACA